GCGGGGUGGAGCAGCACGGUAGCUCGUCGGGCUCAUAACCCGAAGGUCGCAGGUUCAAAUCCUGUCCCCGC
This 71-nucleotide transfer RNA is filed under the name Bacillus thuringiensis serovar aizawai. RNAcentral's name for it is "tRNA-Met". It matches the Rfam family "tRNA". Rfam says of the family: Transfer RNA (tRNA) molecules are approximately 80 nucleotides in length. Their secondary structure includes four short double-helical elements and three loops (D, anti-codon, and T loops). Lineage: Bacteria; Bacillati; Bacillota; Bacilli; Caryophanales; Bacillaceae. The record is from RNAcentral.